RNAcentral lists this ribosomal RNA (538 nucleotides) under Fusarium sp. T22. RNAcentral describes it as "eukaryotic LSU rRNA". The stretch from base 181 to 334 matches the Rfam family "5.8S ribosomal RNA". Lineage: Eukaryota; Fungi; Ascomycota; Sordariomycetes; Hypocreales; Nectriaceae. The record is from RNAcentral.
UUCCGUAGGGGUGACCUGCGGAGGGAUCAUUACCGAGUUUACAACUCCCAAACCCCUGUGAACAUACCACUUGUUGCCUCGGCGGAUCAGCCCGCUCCCGGUAAAACGGGACGGCCCGCCAGAGGACCCCUAAACUCUGUUUCUAUAUGUAACUUCUGAGUAAAACCAUAAAUAAAUCAAAACUUUCAACAACGGAUCUCUUGGUUCUGGCAUCGAUGAAGAACGCAGCAAAAUGCGAUAAGUAAUGUGAAUUGCAGAAUUCAGUGAAUCAUCGAAUCUUUGAACGCACAUUGCGCCCGCCAGUAUUCUGGCGGGCAUGCCUGUUCGAGCGUCAUUUCAACCCUCAAGCACAGCUUGGUGUUGGGACUCGCGUUAAUUCGCGUUCCUCAAAUUGAUUGGCGGUCACGUCGAGCUUCCAUAGCGUAGUAGUAAAACCCUCGUUACUGGUAAUCGUCGCGGCCACGCCGUUAAACCCCAACUUCUGAAUGUUGACCUCGGAUCAGGUAGGAAUACCCGCUGAACUUAAGCAUAUCAAAAG